RNAcentral lists this ribosomal RNA (467 nucleotides) under uncultured bacterium. Its description in RNAcentral is "partial 16S ribosomal RNA". It matches the Rfam family "Bacterial small subunit ribosomal RNA", at positions 28 to 507 of the family's 1533-position model. The record is from RNAcentral.
GACGAACGCUGGCGGCGUGCUUAACACAUGCAAGUCGAACGGAAAGCCCUGCUUUUGUGGGGUGCUCGAGUGGCGAACGGGUGAGUAACACGUGAGUAACCUGCCCUUGACUUUGGGAUAACUUCAGGAAACUGGGGCUAAUACCGGAUAGGAGCUCCUGCUGCAUGGUGGGGGUUGGAAAGUUUCGGCGGUUGGGGAUGGACUCGCGGCUUAUCAGCUUGUUGGUGGGGUAGUGGCUUACCAAGGCUUUGACGGGUAGCCGGCCUGAGAGGGUGACCGGCCACAUUGGGACUGAGAUACGGCCCAGACUCCUACGGGAGGCAGCAGUGGGGAAUAUUGCACAAUGGGCGGAAGCCUGAUGCAGCAACGCCGCGUGCGGGAUGACGGCCUUCGGGUUGUAAACCGCUUUCGCCUGUGACGAAGCGUGAGUGACGGUAAUGGGUAAAGAAGCACCGGCUAACUACGUG